This is a long non-coding RNA of Oncorhynchus kisutch (coho salmon), 3346 nucleotides long. RefSeq lists it as uncharacterized. The transcript has 2 exons. Lineage: Eukaryota; Metazoa; Chordata; Actinopteri; Salmoniformes; Salmonidae. The record is from RefSeq and is a predicted model, not a curated record.
CUCCUGUAGGUUUACACCAGGGCUCUCCAACCCUGUUCCUGGAGAGAUACCCUCUUGUAGGUUUAAACCAGGCCUCUCCAACCCUGUUCCUGGAGAGAUACCUUCCUGUAGGUUUACACCAGGGCUCUCCAACCCUGUUCCUGGAGAGAUACCCUCCUGUAGGUUUACACCAGGGCUCUCCAACCCUGUUCCUGGAGAGAUACCCUCUUGUAGGUUUAAACCAGGCCUCUCCGACCCUGUUCCUGGAGAGAUACCCUCCUGUAGGUUUUUGCUCCAACCCUGUUCCCGGAGAGCUACCCUCCUGUAGGUUUUUGCUCCAACCCUGUUCCUGGAGAGCUACCCUCCUGUAGGUUUUUGCUCCAACCCUGUUCCUGGAGAGCUACCCUCCUGUAGGUUUUUGCUCCAACCCGUUGUAACCUGGUUCAUCUUUUCAACCAGCUAAUCAUUAGAAUCAGGUGCGCUAGAAUAGGGUUAGAGUGGAAACCUACAGGAUGGUGGCUCUCUGGGAACAGGGCUAGAGAGCUCUGAGGUAAACUGUAACGGAGACAUUUAAAAGGGUACCCUAGUCCCUAUUUAGUGCACUACUUUUGACCAGGGCCUAUAGUCCCACCUGGCACCCUAUACCCUAUAAGUAGUGCACUAAAUAGGAAAUUGUGUGCCAUCAUUGUGCUCACAUGAUGUUCUACAGGGGGGAAAAAAACUGUAGUUAGUAACAGCCAGGUUGGAAGAUCCUCAAACGAAAGCUUAAGCAUCUAUCAAAUUACAGUGGCUGGGUUGGUUCAGUGUGAUAGUGUCAAUUAGACACAAAAACAACAAAAAAACAUCUGAUACUGGAUUUGGGUGAUCACGUGUUCACUGCCUGACUAUAAGCACACCCUGGUGCGUGAACACGUCCUGUUCUAUAGAGAUUUACUAGAGCCCAUCUGGACCACUUCUUUCUUUUCUUCUUUCUUUAAUUCUUCCCCUUUUCAUUUUUGUUGUUGUUUGUUUUUUGUUUUUUUUGUAAUGUAACCUUUAUUUAACUAGGCUGAUUUAGACCUGGGACACCAGGUGGGGUUGAUAUUACUGAUCAGGGCCUGAUUUAGACCUGGGACACCAGGUGGGGUUGAUAUUACUGAUCAGGGCCUGAUUUAGAUCUGGGACACCAGGUGGGGUUGAUAUUACUGAUCAGGGUCUGAUUUAGAUCUGGGACACCAGGUGGGGUUGAUAUUACUGAUCAGGGCCUGAUUUAGAUCUGGGACACCAGGUGGGGUUGAUAUUACUGAUCAGGGCCUGAUUUAGAUCUGGGACACCAGGUGGGGUUGAUAUUACUGAUCAGGGCCUGAUUUAGAUCUGGGACACCAGGUGGGGUUGAUAUUACUGAUCAGGGCCUGAUUUAGAUCUGGGACACCAGGUGGGGUUGAUAUUAAGGAUCAGGGCCUGAUUUAGACCUGGGACACCAGGUGGGGUUGAUAUUACUGAUCAGGGCCUGAUUUAGACCUGGGACACCAGGUGGGGUUGAUAUUACUGAUCAGGGCCUGAUUUAGACCUGGGACACCAGGUGGGGUUGAUAUUACUGAUCAGGGCCUGAUUUAGACCUGGGACACCAGGUGGGGUUGAUAUUACUGAUCAGGGCCUGAUUUAGACCUGGGACACCAGGUGGGGUUGAUAUUAAGGAUCAGGGGCUGAUUUAGAUCUGGGACACCAGGUGGGGUUGAUAUUACUGAUCAGGGCCUGAUUUAGACCUGGGACACCAGGUGGGGUUGAUAUUAAGGAUCAGGGGCUGAUUUAGAUCUGGGACACCAGGUGGGGUUGAUAUUACUGAUCAGGGCCUGAUUUAGACCUGGGACACCAGGUGGGGUUGAUAUUACUGAUCAGGGGCUGAUUUAGAUCUGGGACACCAGGUGGGGUUGAUAUUACUGAUCAGGGCCUGAUUUAGACCUGGGACACCAGGUGGGGUUGAUAUUAAGGAUCAGGGGCUGAUUUAGAUCUGGGACACCAGGUGGGGUUGAUAUUACUGAUCAGGGCCUGAUUUAGACCUGGGACACCAGGUGGGGUUGAUAUUACUGAUCAGGGGCUGAUUUAGAUCUGGGACACCAGGUGGGGUUGAUAUUAAGGAUCAGGGGCUGAUUUAGAUCUGGGACACCUGGUGGGGUGAUAUUAAGGAUCAGGGCCUGAUUUAGACCUGGGACACCUGGUGGGAUGAUAUUAAGGAUCAGGGCCUGAUUUAGACCUGGGACCCCUGUUGGAGUGAUAUUAAGGAUCAGGGCCUGAUUUAGACCUGGGACACCAGGUGGGGUUGAUAUUAAGGAUCAGGGCCUGAUUUAGACCUGGGACCCCAGGUGGGGUGAUAUUAAGGAUCAGGGCCUGAUUUAGACCUGGGACACCAGGUGGGGUGAUAUUAACGAUCAGAUAGAACAAAUAAAUCAGCUGUACUCCGGACCUUGUAGGGUAAGAGUUGAGUACCCCUCUACUAGAUUACCAUCAAAUGCACCCUCUAUCCACCUCUAUGCCAUGCGCGCUCAGACGGCGGCGGCGGGAGGAGAUCAAGACGCCCCGACACACAGAGGAUUACAUCACUGCUGGGCAUUGAGCCAGGUCCGGCCGUGGAACUGCUUGGGGUAUACAGGAGAUCAAAUGGACACUUGGCAAUCACAGAGUUGUCAUUAUUUACAGUCUUUGGUACCUACAUUUAUGGGGAUACAUAGGAUGGACAUGACAAAAAUGGACAAUGGCUAUUCUACUUUGUCAUAGAGUAUGAGUCACUUUGUGAAUAUGGACCCUGAUUGCUCUCUGGCUAUCAUAGACCCAAGUCUUCCCCUUCUAGCUAUCAUAGACCCAUGUCUUCCCCCUCUGGCUAUCAUAGACCCAAGUCCUCCCCCUCUGUCUAUCAUAGACCCAAGUCCUCCCCCUCUGGCUAUCAUAGACCCAAGUCUUCCUCUUCUAGCUAUCAUAGACCCAAGUCUUCCCCUUCUAGCUAUCAUAGACCCAAGUCCUCCCCCUCUGGCUAUCAUAGACCCAUGUCUUCCCCUUCUAGCUAUCAUAGACCCAAGUCUUCCCCAUCUAGCUAUCAUAGACCCAUGUCUUCUCCCUCUGGCUAUCAUAGACCCAAGUCUGAGUGAUGACCACUUUAUAGUACUACUGUCUUAUUUGGUCUUUCAUCAGAGACCAUUACAUGCUUUCCCUACAAUUUGAUGACUUAAUUCCCUUAAAUUUCAAUGACAUAAUUUCGGGAAAACAUCCAGGUCCUAAAUUAUACAAAUGUAUCAAAGUUCGAAGCUUUUAUGAUCAAGUUGAACGAUAAAAAAAAAAAAUGUAAUUGAAGAGAAAGAUUGUAAUAAAGAUCUUGAUGAUUAUGUGACAGCUA